This 308-nucleotide ribosomal RNA is filed under the name Bacteroides sp. RNAcentral's name for it is "SSU rRNA". It matches the Rfam family "Bacterial small subunit ribosomal RNA", at positions 1164 to 1480 of the family's 1533-position model. The record is from RNAcentral. Lineage: Bacteria; Pseudomonadati; Bacteroidota; Bacteroidia; Bacteroidales; Bacteroidaceae.
GAGAGGAAGGUGGGGAUGACGUCAAAUCAGCACGGCCCUUACGUCCGGGGCUACACACGUGUUACAAUGGUAGGUACAGAGGGCAGCUACCCAGUGAUGGGAUGCGAAUCUCGAAAGCCUAUCUCAGUUCGGAUCGGAGGCUGAAACCCGCCUCCGUGAAGUUGGAUUCGCUAGUAAUCGCGCAUCAGCCAUGGCGCGGUGAAUACGUUCCCGGGCCUUGUACACACCGCCCGUCAAGCCAUGGAAGCUGGGGGUGCCUGAAGUUCGUGACCGCAAGGAGCGACCUAGGGCAAAACCGGUGACUGGGG